Molecule: ribosomal RNA, 576 nt
Filed under: Shewanella sp.
Lineage: Bacteria; Pseudomonadati; Pseudomonadota; Gammaproteobacteria; Alteromonadales; Shewanellaceae
Description: bacterial SSU rRNA
Rfam family: Bacterial small subunit ribosomal RNA
Source: RNAcentral
GUGGGGAUAUUGCACAAUGGGGGAAACCCUGAUGCAGCCAUGCCGCGUGUGUGAAGAAGGCCUUCGGGUUGUAAAGCACUUUCAGUAGGGAGGAAAGGUAGCAGCUUAAUACGCUGUUGCUGUGACGUUACCUACAGAAGAAGGACCGGCUAACUCCGUGCCAGCAGCCGCGGUAAUACGGAGGGUCCGAGCGUUAAUCGGAAUUACUGGGCGUAAAGCGUGCGCAGGCGGUUUGUUAAGCGAGAUGUGAAAGCCCCGGGCUCAACCUGGGAAUUGCAUUUCGAACUGGCGAACUAGAGUCUUGUAGAGGGGGGUAGAAUUCCAGGUGUAGCGGUGAAAUGCGUAGAGAUCUGGAGGAAUACCGGUGGCGAAGGCGGCCCCCUGGACAAAGACUGACGCUCAGGCACGAAAGCGUGGGGAGCAAACAGGAUUAGAUACCCUGGUAGUCCACGCCGUAAACGAUGUCUACUCGGAGUUUGGUGUCUUGAACACUGGGCUCUCAAGCUAACGCAUUAAGUAGACCGCCUGGGGAGUACGGCCGCAAGGUUAAAACUCAAAUGAAUUGACGGGGCCCCC